RNAcentral lists this ribosomal RNA (446 nucleotides) under uncultured bacterium. RNAcentral's name for it is "bacterial SSU rRNA". It matches the Rfam family "Bacterial small subunit ribosomal RNA", at positions 330 to 793 of the family's 1533-position model. The record is from RNAcentral.
GCCAGACUCCUACGGGAGGCAGCAGUGGGGAAUAUUGCACAAUGGGGGGAACCCUGAUGCAGCGACGCCGCGUGAGUGAAGAAGUAUUUCGGUAUGUAAAGCUCUAUCAGCAGGGAAGAAAAUGACGGUACCUGACUAAGAAGCCCCGGCUAACUACGUGCCAGCAGCCGCGGUAAUACGUAGGGGGCAAGCGUUAUCCGGAUUUACUGGGUGUAAAGGGAGCGUAGACGGCAGAGCAAGUCUGAAGUGAAAGCCCGCGGCCCAACUGCGGGACUGCUUUGGAAACUGCCCGGCUAGAGUGCUGGAGAGGUAAGCGGAAUUCCUAGUGUAGCGGUGAAAUGCGUAGAUAUCACGAAGAACCCCGAUUGCGAAGGCAGCCUGCCGCAGCGUUACUGACGCUGAAGCUCGAAAGCGCGGGUAUCGAACAGGAUUAGAUACCCCGGUAU